Small nuclear RNA from Mesocricetus auratus (golden hamster), 122 nucleotides. Lineage: Eukaryota; Metazoa; Chordata; Mammalia; Rodentia; Cricetidae. The record is from Ensembl.
GAAAAGGGUUUCUGUCAUGAGUAGCACACAUAGGGCAACUCAAUUGCUCUGUGUGCAGAAUCAAGAGAUUUCAGAAGCCUAAUCUUCUGGUUCUUGGGCAGCUGGCGAUUGUUGGUACCCCA